CCUACGGGUGGCAGCAGUGAGGAAUAUUGGUCAAUGGGCGUAAGCCUGAACCAGCCAAGUCGCGUGAGGGAUGAAGGUUCUAUGGAUCGUAAACCUCUUUUCUCAGGGAAUAAAGUGUGGGACGUGUCCUAUUUUGUAUGUACCUUAUGACUAAGGAUCGGCUAACUCCGUGCCAGCAGCCGCGGUAAUACGGAGGAUCCGAGCGUUAUCCGGAUUUAUUGGGUUUAAAGGGUGCGUAGGCGGCCUUUUAAGUCAGCGGUGAAAGUCUGUGGCUCAACCAUAGAAUGGCAGUUGACACUGGGGGGCUUGAGUAUGUUUGAGGCGGGCGGAAUGCGUGGUGUAGCGGUGAAAUGCUUAGAUAUCACGCAGAACCCCGAUUGCGAAGGCAGCCUGCCAAGCCAUGACUGACGCUGAUGCACGAAAGCGUGGGGAGCAAACAGGAUUAGAUACCCCUGUAGUC
This 460-nucleotide ribosomal RNA is filed under the name uncultured bacterium. RNAcentral's name for it is "partial 16S ribosomal RNA". It matches the Rfam family "Bacterial small subunit ribosomal RNA", at positions 338 to 795 of the family's 1533-position model. The record is from RNAcentral.